AAAGUCUGACCGAGCAACGCCGCGUGAGUGAAGAAGGUUUUCGGAUCGUAAAGCUCUGUUGUAAGUCAAGAACGUGUGUGAGAGUGGAAAGUUCACACAGUGACGGUAGCUUACCAGAAAGGGACGGCUAACUACGUGCCAGCAGCCGCGGUAAUACGUAGGUCCCGAGCGUUGUCCGGAUUUAUUGGGCGUAAAGGGAGCGCAGGCGGUCAGGAAAGUCUGGAGUAAAAGGCUAUGGCUCAACCAUAGUGUGCUCUGGAAACUGUCUGACUUGAGUGCAGAAGGGGAGAGUGGAAUUCCAUGUGUAGCGGUGAAAUGCGUAGAUAUAUGGAGGAACACCAGUGGCGAAAGCGGCUCUCUGGUCUGUCACUGACGCUGAGGCUCGAAAGCGUGGGUAGCGAACAGGAUUAGAUACCCUGGUAGUCCACGCCGUAAACGAUGAGUGCUAGGGGUUAGGCCCUUUCCGGGGCUUAGUGCCGGAGCUAACGCAAUAAGCACUCCGCCUGGGGAGUACGACCGCAAGGUUGAAACUCAAAGGAAUUGACGGGGGCCCGCACAAGCGGUGGAGCAUGUGGUUUAAUUCCGAAGCAACGCGAAGAACCUUACC
RNAcentral lists this ribosomal RNA (607 nucleotides) under Streptococcus mutans. RNAcentral's name for it is "bacterial SSU rRNA". It matches the Rfam family "Bacterial small subunit ribosomal RNA", at positions 378 to 975 of the family's 1533-position model. Lineage: Bacteria; Bacillati; Bacillota; Bacilli; Lactobacillales; Streptococcaceae. The record is from RNAcentral.